AAAAAGCUUCCGUAGGUGAACCUGCGGAAGGAUCAUUAACGAAUUUGCUGUUCAGCGGCAAAGAAACUAAACCAAAACUUAUGGGUGGCCGGGCCCGGGUAAGAAGUCUGAACAGAAUAUAAGAGUGAAUAAAAAAAAAAGUACGUGAGUACGUGUGUGUGGGUGUGUGUUGGCAUUGCAUACAUACUACCACUACCAUCUUUGACUAGGCUUCAGACCAAGCUCUCUACGUUGUCCCACACACCGCUAAUAUUUUGCCUCGAUCUCUGCGCUCUCAUACGGGAUAAGUCCACCGGAAACGGGGCAUUCGGCAGGAAGCAGAGAUGAGUUGGGCGGUGUAGCGCUGUUAGAGGGUUUGUGUCUGUGCCUAGCUGCUGAUUCGUUCAUUCAAGUGGCUCCCCCGGCCAGAACACCUAACCAUCAGCAGUAGACUGUUGCGACAGACUGCUGAUGACCCAUGUUAUUAAUACUACUUCUCCCUCCCGUCAAGUGACGGCUACGAGGGUAGACUAUAACACGCUUACACACUGGAAGGGUGGUGGUGGUACGUUGCCUUACUAAACAACCUCUCCCGGGCAGAGCAUCCGGGAGCUUGGUUGGAAAAGUAAGGUAACAAGAGUCCAGAGUCGUACUACGUUCUGGUCUCGGCCGCAGCCGCCCAGUGAGUGUUGAGCGACUGAAUCUUUUUUAAACCUUAACACUACCUGUCACUACUACGACAAACCUUCAAACCCAUAGUACUAAGUCUUCCCACAUGGUCUCUUGAGGCAGAGAUUGCGGAAGUGAUAAAAGUCGGCACAGCCCGACGGCAAUAAAAAAAUACAACUCUUAACGGUGGAUCACUCGGCUCGUGGGUCGAUGAAGAACGCAGCAAGCU
RNAcentral lists this unclassified non-coding RNA (877 nucleotides) under Chionoecetes japonicus. RNAcentral's name for it is "partial contains 18S rRNA, ITS1, 5.8S rRNA". The stretch from base 824 to 877 matches the Rfam family "5.8S ribosomal RNA", at positions 1 to 54 of the family's 154-position model. The record is from RNAcentral. Lineage: Eukaryota; Metazoa; Arthropoda; Malacostraca; Decapoda; Majidae.